AAAAAAACCAAAAACCCAAAUGGAGUUCCCCAUGGGGCCCUGGUGUGCAACAGUUGUAAACAGCAGCCUCCUUAAUAGUGUAUACAGCUGGUUGCCUAUAUGAGUUGUCCUAGGGGACCUUGGAGACAAUC
Molecule: small nucleolar RNA, 131 nt
Organism: Grammomys surdaster
Lineage: Eukaryota; Metazoa; Chordata; Mammalia; Rodentia; Muridae
Product: small nucleolar RNA SNORA70
Exons: 1
Source: RefSeq, a predicted model, not a curated record